GUGAUCUUACCUUGAGCACGUUAAGGUCCAGGAGAGAGGCUCGGCUCCCACAGGAGAGGACCGGGAGAGGACUCGGAUCCGCCGCUGGGUGCUGCGCACUGUGCCUGGUACAUAAAUAAGAAGAAUACUUUCAAUCAAUGACUUUGUUGCCACCUUCACCUGCCCAGAGGAGAGGAGGACUUCCUGAGUGCAAACAUAUUUUGUGGGGCCUUUGUUGAAAAAAAAAAAAAAACAAUGGAAAGAAUGGAAUACUUGGAAAACACAUAUUUUAAACGGUUGGACAAAGAUAGCUGGUGCAUUUUUUUCUUCCUGCCAAGCCGUUUCCAUUUAGGAUUCAACAAAACCACAGUUCGACAUUGGAUUUAGAACCAAAUUUUCAAAGAAACACAUUGCCGGGGAACAUGCGCGGGAUUCCCACUGAUAAUCGCAUAAAACACGAAAGGAUGGAAUCUGACUGCCCAGUAUGGUUUCUCCUUCUGGCAUAUCAGGCUUAACGGACCUGAGCAGAACGUAGGGAAGUGAAUGUGCUGUGCGGUAUCAUCUUCUCUGUGGCCCCAUGUGCAGUAUCAAUGAAUCUGGACUAACAUGUGGUGCAUUCUUCAGGCCAGAUGCAGUGUUUAGAGGAACUUUCGUCAAAGAUGAAAAACGUGACCUAAUUUUGGUAAACAGCAAGAUGGAGGCUGUGUUUUGGGUGCUUCUCUCUCUGAAGACUCUCCAUGGCUUAGUUCCUGGCUUGUCGCUUUUGUCCUGGGGGCUUCAGGUUCCCUAUGCAACGAAAACACAGAGCAGAUGUUAUGAGACUGAGCCAACGGUGGCCCAUAGCAUGAGCGCCUGACUGAUGGGUUCAAAAGCUUUCUUCUAGCAAUUCAAGAGUGCCAAGAAUGAGUAAGCCAAGAAGGAGAGUUAUGACUGUUUGCAAACCCAUAAGGAGUGGUUCUCAGUCUGCACUUGACAAGUCUGAGGGUUUAGAAGACCGUUUGUGGUACAGCUGAAUCCCCAGUGUGCUGUGUUCCCAGGGAAGAAAACCAAUAACAACAGAUCCACAACUCAUGCCAUUUGCUAAAUGGGCUUCCUCGCAAGUGGGGCUCUGGGAGGAAUCUCACAAUUUCCUGCCGCUUUGUCUCUGAAGGGUACACACCCCGAGUGCAAUGCUGGCUAUAGAGUCUCCAUAGGAUCUGAUGUCUGUAAGAGAAGAGAAACCACCACGACUUUCCAGAGCAUUCCUUUGCUGAAUGGUGUGCUACCACCCUCCCACUGAAGGUCGCUUAGAUUGUCUCCAGCUUUCCACCACUCCAAAUAAAGUGGCAGAGAGUAUCCAGGAGGACUUGUCAAUUUGUCUCAUGCUUUGAGGAUAUUUUUCUUGGCUCUUCAUCAUGAGAACGCACUGGGGCUCCUGGAGGUACAGCCUGCAAACCUGUGUCCUUCCUCCUCACCCAAGACGCCAGCCCUCAAGGUUUCUCACUCUCGUGCCGGUCCAUGCUCCGCCUCGAGCAAUUCAUCAAAAUUACCACGUAUUAAAAUUACUUGACAGUUCCAAUAUCCAGCUAAACUCCUAUUGGACUGAAGCAAGCAACAGUUCUGAAUGCUUUUUGUCCUGAAGAACUUGGCUUGAGAUAAUUAUUGGCUGAGCUUGAAGUUGAGUAACUGGAACAUGAAAGUAGGGCUGCUCAGAAGAGGGCCAGCGAGCCCCGCCUGCUGCCUUAGACAAUGUGUGUCCUCAUCAGAGUCCUACUCAAGAAUUCAUGUCAUCAAAAAUGCUGCCAUAUCUGGCUGUGGGACCUAGGUCUGUGCAGCCGUCUUGCCACUUUGAGGAAGCCGGCCUGAAGAUAUGUCCACAUAAUGACGAUGGCAGAGCAGAAUAAAGGCAGGACAUGGAGAAGCUGUGUUGACCAAUCUUCAGGUUAUCCUGCCUCAAGCCUCUUUUUAUAAUUCCAGUGAGCUGACUUUCAGAGUUCUCGCGCUGGCAGUGUCCCCAGGGCUUGCAUUAGGUGCGUGCACUUUCUUCUGCUCCAGCUGCAAAGAUACUCCAAAGCAAGACUCCACCACAGUUGUGUGCUGCCGGUGGACAGCAGAUGACUCGCCAGGCUGCCCUCUGGGUCUCCAGCGUUCACAGACACAGAAGCACAUCUGUUUACCACCCUAUGCCCAGUGCCUGGUCCAUGGUCAGGCCUUCAUUUUUAAGCCUCCAGGGAGAAACAGCAUAUGGAGGAGGAAGUCUCAAGAGAUGAAAAUUCAUCUGCCCUGUGGCCUUAAAAGGGAGAAAUGGAGGAGUCAAUGUCAAAGGUUAAUCAGCGUCCACCAGUUGAUCCAGCCAUUCACCUCUCAAGGUUUCUGAGCUGCUCUCUGGAUACUGCAGGAAUCCAGACCAUUGCUCAGGUGUCUGCAGAAAAGGGGCAAACAGUCACUGUUACAAGGCAACAGUGGGGAAAAGAUGAAAGAAACUAUCAACUACUUCUCAGUAACACAGACUCCUACACUUACAAGAGCUGCCUUUUACCUCACACGACCGCAGCUUCCUCCACAUUAUUCAAAGCAGCCCUCAUCCCCCCUAGAUUGUCUCACAUUUUUAAGUUGAGUCCAAGUUUCCCUCUACAAUUUCUUCAGUGUUGAUUUGGGAGAAGGGAAUUUACAAGCUCAUGAUGAUUACUAUAUUGAUAGGAACCGGAAGUUCCUACCAAUAAGGGGAAAAAUAAAAACACUAUAAAUAUCCAUGAAUAAGGCAAUGGUUAUAUUAAUUGUGAUGUAUUUAUAUCAUAGAAUACUCUGCAUCUGUUUAAAAAAAAUGAGGUGGAUUUAAAUGCACUGAUAGAGGAAGAGGACCAUAACAUUGUAAUAGAAAUGAAGCAGGAAAAUACAUAUACCGUGAUGUCAUUUUGUAACAUCUUUACGAAUAUGUAUUUGUAUAUAAGCAUAAGAAAAGUCUCAAUGGAUAUACACUUAGUAAAAAUUGUCAGAGUUGGGUAAACGAAUCAGAAGAGACUUUCACUUUUUGCUUUACACAUAUUUAAAUUAUUUGGAUGCUUUCUAAGUAUUUAUUAUGUGCCACAAUGAAUCCUUAAAAAAAUGGAGAGGAUAGAUUCUUAUAACCAUACUGGAUGGAAGGUCCCCUUACAGGAUGCUACUUCAUUCUUCCUAAGUGUCCCACACAUUGUACACAUCUCUUUUCUGUCCCUUUUCCACAAAAGCAAAAAAUUCCCUUGCACUCUAUCCUGGGAAAUUGUCAGUUGUUGAUAAUUGUUGGUUGUUUAUUGAGUAAAUAACAUUAAUAAAUGAAUGAAUGCAUGAAAUAAAACUGGAGAAGCUAUAUCAAAUAAAAUUACAGUUUUCUUCUUUGAUUGCUUAUUUAUAUAGUUAUUCCAAAUUGAAGGUCAAUCUAACUCACAAUUUUUACCUCCUUAAUAGGAUGGAAACACCAUGCUUACCUUCAUUUAUUCACCAUUAUGGACAUAUCCCUCAGGAUACAGCCAGUUUCUCCUCUCUUCUCACAACUUCCUCAGAAAAAAGUUGGAAGUCCAUAAAAUUAGACUCUUGCAUUUCAUAGAGGUAUCUCGCUUUUGUAAACGGUGUAGUUCUCUGAAUUCCAGAAGGCCUGUAUUCACAGCUAUUUAUAGAAAAAGAGUUGCUUGCAAAAAUAAAAGCAGAAUGAUUUUUUUCAAAAACAUAAAUUUGGAAAUGUAACAACCAGUUGUCCAAGUAUCUAUUGAAAGGAGGUCUGUUAGUUCUCUAACAGUUUUAAUGCAGGUGGUAUCAUUUGAAGUUAAUAAAAUUGUUGGAGCUGGUA
Molecule: non-coding RNA, 3781 nt
Organism: Equus caballus (horse)
Lineage: Eukaryota; Metazoa; Chordata; Mammalia; Perissodactyla; Equidae
Source: RefSeq, a predicted model, not a curated record